ACCGAAGCCACGCCCAGUUCCUGAACCACGUCGGCUCCCCUCCCCCAACACCGUUCGGAAUCCUUGGGUCAACCGCCUCCGUCUCCACAGCAACGGAGUUUCAGAGCGCGCGGCAGCUUGGGGGCGGGGUUCCCAGUCCCCCGGUCAAAUUUUAGGACUUUUCAGCAGGAAAGCUGCACAACUGGAGGAGGGCAGGACGAGGCUGGCCUCGCAGGUCGGGCUACGUUCUUCUACGGUCUGAGGCGUUGUCUAGAAACUCAAAAUCUCUGGAAUCCCAUCCAGGACUCCUCCAUCAAGAUUUCUUCCGAUCCUGAGUAACCAAGAUUGGAAUACUGACCCCUUCAGGAGGCAGCCCAUGCCGUUUUUUCCCAACCGCUCUAAUCUGCCCCAAAUGCUUCCUUAUAUGAAUCCAAAUUUGUCUCUCCUUGACCUCUACCCUCUGCACUGUUUCAGCCUCCGCCUCUGGGGCCUUACUAAACAAGUCCAAUCACCCUUCCACGUGACCCCUUAUCUAACUGUAGGUGGGAUUAAUGUACUUAUCUGCCCAAACAGCUCCAGUCCUUUAAACUGCCUUUUAUUGAUUGUGAGACAAAUUUGAGGACACCCUGGGGCAGAGCGCAACCAAAGGUGCCUUGCGGUCUCAUUAGUCAUAUGGAAUUCAGCACUGACCAGGGCUUAACUAGCCAUUAAGGCCCUGCACUUUGCCUAGAGGAGCCCACCCAGGAUACUACAUUACAUUCAGAUGUCAUGUCUCCUUAGGCUCCUGCAGACUGACAAUUUCUCAAACUUUGUUUUUGAUGACUUUGACAAUUUUGAGGUGGUAUGAUAAUUUGUGAAGUGUUUCUCAUGCUUAGCCUGGAGUUACAAGGUUGGAGAAAAAGACCAAAGAUGUGAAGUGCCAUUCUCAUCACAUCAUGUCAAGGGUACAUGCUGUUAACAUGAAUUAACAUCGAUGAUGUUAACCUUGAUGUCCUGGCUGAGAUGAACUCUCUUGGAUAGAAGGAUUCAAACAGAAAAAUGCAAAAAGAAGUCAGAUGGAAAACUCUGGAAAAUCCAAGAAGGGAGCUAGUUGAUGAUGAGCAAAGCCACAUGUGCUGUCUUGACAGCCAUAGAGAAGAAUGGAGGCCUCCAUACCUGAGUGGAAAGAGAAGAACAUGGGCAAUGAUUUUGUCUCUACAAAACAACAACAACAACAGACAAACAAAAUUAGCUGAGUGUGGUGGUGUGCACCUGCAACUUCACUACUUAGCAGGCUGGGGUGGGAGGAUGGCUUGAACCCAGGAGUUCAAGGCUAUAGUGAGCUGUGAUUGUGCCACUGCACUCCAGCCUGACAGAACAAGACCAUGUCUCAAAAGGAAAAAAAAAAAAGAAAAGGAAAGAAGAAAAGAAUUUAAAAAGAGAAGGGAGAAUGAGAAGAGUCACAACUUUGAUAAAGUGGGGAGCAUUGGGUUGGGUAUGGAAUGGUAGUAGUCUUGUCUAGUUCAGAAUCAGACAGACCUGAGUUUAGUCCUUCACAUCUACCCUUUUACCCUUCUUAUUUUAUUUCCCUUCCCUUCCCAUUUUGUUAUUCAUUUAAUAAAGUUUCUAAAUUCUA
Homo sapiens (human) is the source of this 1594-nucleotide long non-coding RNA. RefSeq lists it as uncharacterized. The record is from RefSeq and is a predicted model, not a curated record. The transcript has 4 exons. NCBI's taxonomy places the organism in Eukaryota, Metazoa, Chordata, Mammalia, Primates, Hominidae.